Molecule: ribosomal RNA, 253 nt
Filed under: uncultured bacterium
Lineage: Bacteria
Description: partial 16S ribosomal RNA
Rfam family: Bacterial small subunit ribosomal RNA
Source: RNAcentral
UACGGAGGGUGCAAGCGUUAUCCGGAUUCACUGGGUUUAAAGGGUGCGUAGGCGGGCAGAUAAGUCAGUGGUGAAAUACCUGAGCUUAACUUGGGAACUGCCAUUGAUACUAUUUGUCUUGAAUGUCGUGGAGGUUAGCGGAAUAUGUCAUGUAGCGGUGAAAUGCUUAGAGAUGACAUAGAAUACCUAUUGCGAAGGCAGCUAACUACGCGAAUAUUGACGCUGAGGCACGAAAGCGUGGGGAUCAAACAGG